This 1629-nucleotide ribosomal RNA is filed under the name metagenome. RNAcentral describes it as "bacterial LSU rRNA". It matches the Rfam family "Bacterial large subunit ribosomal RNA", at positions 1299 to 2925 of the family's 2925-position model. The record is from RNAcentral.
GGGAUGAGUGGCGAUCAACAUGUGAGAAUCAUGUUCGCCGUAAACCUAAGGUUUCCUACGGAAGGUUCGUCCGCGUAGGGUUAGUCGGUCCUAAGCCGAGGGCUAAAGCCGUAGGCGAUGGACAACGGGUUAAUAUUCCCGUACCACCUAAGGUGAGCUAUGGGGUGACGCAGAAUGGUAAGCCAGCCCGGUGUUGGAUUCGGGUGCUAAACCACUAGGGAAGUGAGGGGGGUAGGCAAAUCCGCUCCCUGAUCCUGAAGGGUGAUGGCGGUGCCUUCGGGCCACAAGUGGCCUAGCCAACCUGCCAAGAAAAGCCUCUGUGCGUUGAUCCUUGGGUGUCCGUACCGCAAACCGACACAGGUGGGUGGGUAGAGUAUACCAAGGCGUUCGGGAGAAUCCUCGUUAAGGAACUAAGCAAAAUGACUCCGUAACUUCGGGAGAAGGAGUGCCUUCCUGGGUUAGCUUAGGCAAAGCCCGGGGUGGCCGCAGUGAAAGGGCCCUACUGACUGUUUAACAAAAACACAGGUCUCUGCAAAAGCGUAAGCUGAUGUAUAGGGGCUGACGCGUGCCCAGUGCCGGAAGGUUAAAGGGAUCGGUUAGCGCAAGCAAAGCUGAGAACUGAAGCCCCGGUGAACGGCGGCCGUAACUAUAACGGUCCUAAGGUAGCGAAAUUCCUUGUCGGGUAAGUUCCGACCCGCACGAAUCGCGUAACAAGUGGGGCGCUGUCUCAACGAGGAACCCGGCGAAAUUGAAGUAGGCGUGAAGAUGCGUCUUACCCGCAGCAGGACAAAAAGACCCCGUGAAGCUUUACUGUACCCUGAAUUGAGUUGAGGCUUUUUCUGUGUAGGAUAGGUGGGAGGCUUUGAAGCCGGGGCGCUAGCUUCGGUGGAGCCAACGUUGAAAUACCACCCUGAGAAAGUUUCGACCCUAACCCGUUGCCGUGAUCCGGCGUGGGGACAGUGCCAGGUGGGCAGUUUGACUGGGGCGGUCGCCUCCCAAAAGGUAACGGAGGCGCUCAAAGGUUCCCUCAGGCUGAAUGGAAACCAGCCGUGGAGUGCAAAGGCACAAGGGAGCUUGACUGCAAGAGCAACGACUCGAGCAGAGACGAAAGUCGGACUUAGUGAUCCUACGGUCCCGUGUGGAAGGGCCGUAGCUUAACGGAUAAAAGCUACUCCGGGGAUAACAGGGUAGUCUUGCCCAAGAGUUCACAUCGACGGCAAGGUUCGCCACCUCGAUGUCGGCUCGUCACAUCCUGGGGCUGGAUAAGGUCCCAAGGGUUCGGCUGUUCGCCGAUUAAAGUGGCACGCGAGCUGGGUUCAGAACGUCGUGAGACAGUUCGGUCUCUAUCCGCUGUGGGCGCAGGUGACUUGAGGGGAGCUGUCCUUAGUACGAGAGGACCAGGAUGGACGAGCCUCUGGUGUGCCAGUUGUACCGCCAGGUGCAUCGCUGGGUAGCCACGCUCGGCAGAGAUAACCGCUGAAAGCAUCUAAGUGGGAAACUCGCCCCAAGAUUAGGUCACCCAUUCCGUAAGGAAGUAAGACCCCUGGAAGACCACCAGGUUGAUAGGCGGCAUGUGUAAGGGCAGUAAUGUCUUAAGCAAAGCCGUACUAAUGGUCGAGGGCUUAAUCA